Cyprinus carpio (common carp) is the source of this 1280-nucleotide long non-coding RNA. RefSeq lists it as uncharacterized. The record is from RefSeq and is a predicted model, not a curated record. Lineage: Eukaryota; Metazoa; Chordata; Actinopteri; Cypriniformes; Cyprinidae. The transcript is spliced from 6 exons.
UUAUGUGCAGGCCUGGCAUUUUGCACUGGGCUAUAGAACUACAAAAUGAAUUUUAAAUUAGCAAUAUCAUAAUUGAAUGACAUUUUGAAUUGUUUAUGUAGUGAUCUAAUUCUAUCCACCAAGCAAUUGUAUGUGAAUGUGUGAGACUUAUGGUCAUGGUUAUAGGGAAAUAACAAGAAGAACAAAGUGCAGUAAACGGUAAAACUGUUUGCACUACAAACCAGUACGUUCAUAAUUAAGACAAUACAUUAAAAAUAACAUGGUAAGAUAAACAAGUUUGCAACAGUAAACAGCAAAACAAGCUGUUUGUACAGCUAAUAUAGCUGGAAUGACACAGACACAUUAAAUUUACAAAUGGCCGCGCCCCCUCUUACAGAAAAAAAAUAAGGGGCAUAUGUUUAUUCAUAUGUUUAUUUAUGUAACGUAAGCGUGUGACUUUUAAUGCGUGACGUGCUUUCAUGGGCGUGCGCGCGGACCGGAUGGAGUUGCCAUGGAAACGGAGGGCAACACUGCAAAUGUCACGAGGAAACACCCCGUUUCUCGCUGAUUUCACUGUUUUCAGGAAUGGUUUAAUGUCUUCGAAAAAGUCCGUUUGCAUUUCUACCGUUUUCAGAGGACGUAUCGUCAGAAGGGAGUGUCCAAGAUUUCAAUAUUUCUGAAGGGAGCUGCUGACAGAGAUGUAGGAAGCGCUGAAAAGAUUCUUCAGUGCUGAUGGCCUGCCGCAUCCAGCAGAGUCAGAGUGAACCUCCUUUAAGACAACAUCUCCAAGAUGCUAUUGACCACAAGACUAGUACAGGUUAUUAGAAACGGCACAGCACAGGACUUGCAGGACUUGUGAGGACUUUAGAUGAUACCAGUACUCAAAAGACCUUAGAUGAUGGCAACUAUAGAUGGACAUACAAACUACCGCCACGGCAAAAAAGAUUCUAAUUUGAAAGAAGUUUAUAAUGCACGUUCGCUACUCCCAAUUCAGAAGACUGAAUCAGCCUGUGUAUCUGAAUGAUUCUCAUACUCACUCCUCUCUGCCGCUUCUCACAGAGGAUACAUUUACAGAAGCCUGUUUCGUAAUGCUUGUUUAUACUCGGUAUACUCCAAACCGCAAGACUCUACGAGCGCAUCUGGCAAUAUGGACAAGGCUUGAUGCAUGGCUGCAGCCUGUGUCAACUCACGCUUGUCUCUGUAUUUAACACAAAUGUAAAUUCAGUUUAACUGCAUUGCUAAUUUCACUUAGAAGAAAUGAAACAUUCACCACAUGUUCCACUUGUUCUUAAAAUCCUAAA